RNAcentral lists this ribosomal RNA (440 nucleotides) under uncultured bacterium. RNAcentral's name for it is "partial 16S ribosomal RNA". It matches the Rfam family "Bacterial small subunit ribosomal RNA", at positions 338 to 795 of the family's 1533-position model. The record is from RNAcentral.
CCUACGGUGAGCAGCAGUAAGGGAUAUUGGUCAAUGGGGGAAACCCUGAACCAGCAACGCCGCGUGAGGGAAGACGGUUUUCGGAUUGUAAACCUCUGUCCUCUGUGAAGAUGAUGACGGUAGCAGAGUAAGAAGCUCCGGCUAAAUACGUGCCAGCAGCCGCGGUAAUACGUAUGGAGCAAGCGUUAUCCGGAUUUACUGGGCGUAAAGGGAGCGUAGGCGGCCUGCCAAGUCUGAUGUGAAAUACCGGGGCUCAACCCCGGGGCUGCAUUGGAAACUGGCAGGCUGGAGUGCCGGAGAGGCAGGCGGAAUUCCUAGUGUAGCGGUGAAAUGCGUAGAUAUUAGGAGGAACACCAGUGGCGAAGGCGGCCUGCUGGACGGUGACUGACGCUGAGGCUCGAAAGCGUGGGGAGCAAACAGGAUUAGAUACCCCGGUAGUC